ACAAACUUGGUCAUUUAGAGGAAGUAAAAGUCGUAACAAGGUUUCCGUAGGUGAACCUGCGGAAGGAUCAUUACAGAGAUUGUGCCCCUCUUGGGGUAUAUCUCCCACCCAUUGUCUACUAUAUCUCUGUUGCUUUGGUGGGCCUGCCCUUGGCUGCCGGCUCUGGCUGGCUUGUGCUCACCAAAGGCCCCCUUUAAUUCUUUAAUUGGUGUUGUCUGAACUCUAUAAAAUAAAUGAAAACUUUCAACAACGGAUCUCUUGGUUCUGGCAUCGAUGAAGAACGCAGC
This 287-nucleotide unclassified non-coding RNA is filed under the name uncultured fungus. Its description in RNAcentral is "partial contains small subunit ribosomal RNA, internal transcribed spacer 1, and 5.8S ribosomal RNA". The stretch from base 1 to 73 matches the Rfam family "Eukaryotic small subunit ribosomal RNA", at positions 1759 to 1831 of the family's 1831-position model. Lineage: Eukaryota; Fungi. The record is from RNAcentral.